GCACUCUGUGUGGGGAACAUGAGAGCCAGACCAAAGCUCAGAGGAACCAGCCUGGACCUCCACCCAGCUCUGUGUCUUAUGAAAGUAACUCAGUCAAAGAUGUCAUUAAGAGAUUUGAGCAAAGACAGUCAGCUGAGAAAAGGAUCCAUCAGAGACUCAAACCUGGACCUCCACCCAGCUCUGUGUCCUUACAGAGUGACGGGUCUGAAGAUCGUCUCAUUAAUUUUAA
Maylandia zebra (zebra mbuna) is the source of this 229-nucleotide non-coding RNA. The record is from RefSeq and is a predicted model, not a curated record. Lineage: Eukaryota; Metazoa; Chordata; Actinopteri; Cichliformes; Cichlidae.